RNAcentral lists this unclassified non-coding RNA (2656 nucleotides) under Haliotis rufescens (red abalone). RNAcentral describes it as "uncharacterized LOC124137947, transcript variant X8". Lineage: Eukaryota; Metazoa; Mollusca; Gastropoda; Lepetellida; Haliotidae. The record is from RNAcentral.
UCCGUACGCAAGCUUUAUAGGAGAAUCAUUUUUAGCAAGUCUUCACUGUCGUGGGAGAAGUGGUCUAAGCCAUAGUCUAGAACCACUCCAACCUUUUUCAUCAGCCUGUUUUCGUUUUAGAUUCUCACGACAGUGAUUUAUAGAUAAGUUUUAAAAAAACACUUAAAAUGAAGCUCUCUCCUGUCUGGAACAACUAUGCGUAUUUGAAGAAUCCGCAGACUUUUCAACAAGUUGCAGUUCAAAAUGCCCUUGACGAGGCUGAAGAGAGGAGCACAAGGGGCCACUCCGUUCUGCGCAGAGGGACGUUCGGUGCCUACCCUAGACGUGUGUACAGCGACGCCUUUGCCCCUGAGUAUAUACCACGCAGGCUUGGAUACGAGAGCACAUCAGAGGAGUACGCUCUUGGCAGUGCCGUCACUAACGCCACAUCAUAUUCUGACGCUUCCCUGUACGACACUUACGACACUGCCAACAGGUCACGAGGGCGGGACCAGACUCUUCUGCAAAACGCCACAGCAGCCAUCCCCCCGUCGACAAACUCGCCGCUGAUGGCCUCGCCUAGCCGGACAGCCAGCGCCCUUCCCGGGAGGCGUUUUCUAUCACGACCUAUCACUCGUUCCUUCUCCCCCGACAUUGAUGACACGCCGGUGUCAUCCAGUAAGACAAGUUACUCACUCCCCACCUCACACCUUCAAGCCAGCGCACCUCCUCGACCAAAUGUAACUCCCACCGUCAGUAAAUACGCCAGGAACAGUAGUUUAGGCAACACCGCCAGUAGGAUAGCCUCUCUCAAAAGCACUUAUGAUAGCAGUUCUUCCGGUGUGUUGCCAGACAGUUCAUCCACUCGGCUUCUAGGAGGGUACAUUCCUCGCACUUUGUACCGUUCUGGAUCUCCCUUAGGUAGUGGGACGACGACUCCCCUUUAUCAAUCGCCAUAUCUAGGCUCGAAGAGGCCUACCUACAAAUUAGCAUUUGAUAGUGGAUCUACCACUCCCACAUACAGACCAUCAGCAUAUACAGAGACCACAAAGCUGCUCGGAGGGUAUGUGUCACCCAGAUUUGCCUACAGGACAGUCAGUGUGUCGCCAUAUGCUAGUGGCACACAGUCUCCCGUGUACCCGUCCUACAGUUCCCGACCUGGAACACGGCUACUAAGUGGGUACAUCCCUUCCAGACGCCUGACAUUGUCGCCAUCAGUGUCACCGUAUGCUAGCGGCACGCAGACCCCCGUCACAUACACAGCUGGGACCCCUCUGACUACAUAUGACAAUUAUUAUGUGAAUGAACCUGAUUACCCAGAACUGACCACCACGAGACGUCGGCCAAAGGUCUUGGGGACCAAGAUACGAGUUGGUAACUAUAUGGACAGACUUAGAAGAAAGCGGGCAGGGCAAAGGGGAUCAUCAAAGUACUGGCCUUACUAUGACGUAGACGACAUCACGUCAGAGGCAGGGGAUGUCCUCAGUGAGACGGAAUCUAUACCAGAUUACUAUGGUACAGCCAAUGCUACCCACUGGGACGAUGAAGAAGCUGCUGGGGGAAGGUACAUAAGUUACCUGGAUAAUGGGGAUGACAGUUACAUGGACGAGCCUGAUGAGUAUGUACCCUUCAAACCGAGAAGAAGGCUUGAAUCUCCCGGAGUUCUAGAACUAGCCCCCUAUGAGAACACCCCUCCUGCACCAGAGCUCCCACUUGUAUCCACACUCCCAUAUCUUCCCAAAAUCAGCUCAGAUAUUGGUUCAAAGGGAAGUGAUUUGUAUUUGAAUUCCAUUGUGUCAUCAUCCGCUGCUCGUGCAAGGACCGCUUUCAAAAACAAUGGCUUUGGCAACUAUGAUAAUGCUAGCUUAGUGCUAAGCGUGGAAGGAGAUGUGGUGUCCCCCAAUACCGGCGGCCGAUAUGGAUUUAAAUACUACCACCCACCAGUCCCACUUGUAGGCAGAGGAUUGGGAACAAGCGUACUUGGCCUUCCCUCGCCAAGUUCCUCGAUAGUGGACAGUUUCUUUGGGACCUAUGUGAACAAGCUGCGAGAUAUUCGUGCCGAUUUCCGCAGCAGACUUGAUAGUAGGGUUUCACCUAGAACGGUACCAUCUGCAUACAGAGAGAUUGGAACUUACACUCCUAGCAAGCCGACAGAUAACUUCCUCCCGUACACAUCCUUCAGAAAACGCCUUCAGGGGGGCACAACACAACGUGUUGACGUCAUUGAGCUUCCUGUCAGCGAGCGUGUGUUGCCCUCGGAGACGCUGUCUCUCACUUUACCUGAAACGGCAUCUGCGAAUGACAAGGACAAACGUGACAGUUAUAAGCUUACUGUUCUUGAUAAGAUCAAAAUCAAGGCGGCAAUUGUUGCAAGCAAAGUUGAAGUUGAGCCCAGGAGGAAAAGGCCACGUUCUAAGUUCGCCGCAGACAAAUUGCGAACCACUCGUGCAAGAGGCGAGGUAAAAACCCGUCCAUUUGUAAGUGUGACCUUGGACGCCGGCGACCUUGGAGCCGAAAGUUACCUCAAUUAGAACUGAGGGAAAGUCCAAACAAACUGGAUCAAAGUUUAGAUCUCCCUCAAUUGAGACGGUCGUUGUUUCUGCAGGAAAGUGUGUACCCCCAGGUGACCUCUGGACUCUCCGCCUCUAGACCACCACUGCGCACCCCGAGGGCAAUG